RNAcentral lists this ribosomal RNA (425 nucleotides) under Testudo graeca. RNAcentral's name for it is "partial 16S ribosomal RNA". It matches the Rfam family "Bacterial large subunit ribosomal RNA", at positions 1923 to 2589 of the family's 2925-position model. Lineage: Eukaryota; Metazoa; Chordata; Testudines; Testudinidae. The record is from RNAcentral.
UUAAACGGCCGCGGUAUUCUAACCGUGCAAAGGUAGCGUAAUAACUUGUCUUUUAAAUAAAGACUAGAAUGAAUGGCCAAACGAGGCUCCACCUGUCUCUUACAAAUAAUCAGUGAAAUUGAUCUUCCCGUGCAAAAGCGAGAAUAACAUUAUAAGACGAGAAGACCCUGUGGAACUUCAAAUAUAUACCAAGAUACUUUUGGUUGGGGCGACCUCGGAGUAAAAAAAAACCUCCGAAAAACUAACCUAGAGUUACAACUCAAAGAAACGAUCCAAUAUAUUUGAUCAACGAACUAAGCUACCCCAGGGAUAACAGCGCAAUCUCAUCCUARAGUCCCUAUCAACGAUGAGGUUUACGACCUCGAUGUUGGAUCAGGACAUCCUGAUGGUGCAUCCGCUAUCAAGGGUUCGUUUGUUCAACGAUU